UAUGGCAUUACCAUCUGUGUUGAUUGGGUUUGUCGCCUUAAUUGGCCUCUUAUGACCCGUCAGCCAUUGAUUUGGUGUAGGUAUAGAUUCCUCAACUUGAUUGAUGAGUCUCUUCGAGGCUGAGCCCACUCCUUCAGAGAAAGGGCCGUCCAAGCCAUCUAAUCCAAAGGAGAGGACUUCCUUUGUCAAUUCGGCAAAGAUCGGAGCUUUAGUCUUCUUGGAGAUCUUGCGGACCUUGCGCAUAGCCUUAGGGAUAAGGGAUCCAGAGGAGAGGACUUCCUCAUACUUGGCUUGGUCAAACUCUGUGACGAGAGUUUCAAUGGUUGUUCCAGCAAUAUGGACAUCAGAUUGGGACACCACUUCAUCGUCAGAAAAGAAUCUAAAAUGUUUGAAGAUUUUGAAGAUGAUUCAUGGGCAAAACAUUUUAAAAAAUAAUAGGAAUCACGAUAAAGUGGUUAAAAUCAACAUAGAUGACGAAGUUAAUCUCAAGCCCAUCUUCAUCAGUGAAUGUCUAUCAUCCAUCGAGAAAGAAGAGCUUAUAAUUCACCUUCGAGAAUACAUUGAUGUUUAUGCUUAGAGGUGAGCUUGGAAGCAGCCAUCCUUUGAAGAAAGCGUAAUAGCUCACUAGACUAGCUCAAUUGCACCGAAAAUGUCUCAGGGCUCAAGUGAUUCACUGAAGCGAUGACACCUUGAAAGCUACUUUUUCAAGUGUCAGUAGCAGGAUGUUCUGUCAAUCGGGGAAGGUUUUUGGUGAUAACACCUAGAGAUAUCAGAAGUGAGAAUGCUUACAUGAGUAACGAGAAAUCCUGUGAAAAACACGAUCGCCUGCCAGUUGAAGGCUUUCUGCAUUCAGUCAAUCUACGCAAAGUGAAUCGGUCCCUAAGGAACCCCUGAAAGGGCUGCCAUCUGAUGGGUACACAAAUGUGACGAAGUUGCUUUGACUACUAAACCAUGCCUGUCUGUUGGAGUGAAUUGGAUGAUCGAGCUGAGGGCUGCCCCUCUUCCCCUCACUCUCCUUUCCCUAAGAUGCAACUUGAGUCAUCAAAGCCUUAACUAAUUCAGAGGGGCUCGGCUGGCCCGGUCGCCCUACGCUACUGGCGCUUCCAAAGGCAAAGCUCUCGUCUUUAGCAACCAACAAACAGAGGCUCUUUGAUGACCUUUUGUUUUGAAGAAGGGGUGGCUUUUUUCUCUCUAAAGGUGAAGGCUCUGAAGUGGGAGAACACUCGGCCUAGCAGGCGAACACUCGGCCUAGCUGGCGAACAUAUUGGACUCCAGCUCCACGCACCUACGGACACCUUUCGAAGCACUUUCACAUGUGAACCGAAGUCGUGUUGCGUCACUCAUUCCUUUCUCAUUUCGGUGCUCACCUUUUUCUCAGUAGGGGCCUUUAUUUGAUUAGAGUAGGGGUCGUGAGAGAGUAGAGCGUACCACCCUACCAUAGUCAUGAGGAUCUUUAUAGUCGGUUGCGACUGUUGUCAUAGUCAACUGAUCGUACCCCAAACUGACACAGGUGAACAAGUAGAGUAUACUAGGGUGCAUCAAGAGAACCAUGUCAAAGGAACUCGGUAAAAUAACCCUGUAACUUCGGGAUAAGGGGUGCUCUCUUAUCUUUUGAUUAGGAAAGCGACACAUACCAGGGGGUAGCCACUAUUUAUUAAAAACACAGGACUCUGCUAAGUAGUAACACGAUGUAUAGAGUCUGACACCUGCUCGGUGCUGGAAGGUCAGAAAGAUAAGUGUAAUAAACUUUGAAUGGAAACCCAGGUAAAUGGCGGCAAUAACUCUAAGUGUCCUAAGUUAGCAAAAUUCCUUGUCGCAUAAGUAGCGACAUGCGUGAAUGGUGUAACGACUGCCCUGCUGUCUCUAACAUGGACUCAAUGAAAUUAAAUUCUCUAUGAAGAUGCAGAGUACUAGAUGGUAAGACCCCGUGCACCUUCCUGAUUAUAGCUUCACAGUGACAACCUUGAUCGAAUGUGUAGGAUAGGUGGGAGGUGGUGACACACAACGACCAAUCCUGAAAGACCACUCUUUCAUCUAAGGAUGACUAACCACCGCACCGAUCAUUCGGGUGGGGGGGGCACUACGAGGUGGGUAGUUUAUCUGGGGCAGAUGCCUCCUAAAGAGUAAUGGAGGUGUGCGAAGGUAGGCUCAAGCAUUGAUUCUACUCAUGAGCAUAAUGGUAUAAUCCUGCUUGACUGUAAGACCAACUGGUCGAACAGAGACGAAAGUCGGCCAUAGUGAUCCGGGAGUCCCGUAUGGAAGGGCUCUCACUCAACAGAUCAAAGGUACGCCGGGGAUAACAGGCUGAUGACUCCCAAGAGCUCUUAUCGACGGAGUCGUUUGGCACCUCGAUGUCGACUCAUCACAUCCUGGGGUUGAAAAAGGUUCCAAGGGUUCGGUUGUUCGCUGAUGAAAGUGGUACGUGAAUUGGGUUUAGAACAUCAUGAGACAGUUUGGUUCCUAUCUACCGUUGGUGUUAAAGGGAGAACUGCGAGGAGCCAACCCUAGUACGAGAGGACUAGGUUUGGUCAACCUAUGGUGUACCAGUUGUUAUGCUAAUAGCAGCGUCGGGCAGCUAAGUUGGUAUGGAAGAACUGUUGUGCUACGGGAAAUCCUUCUCUAUACAAGUUCUCGUAUGAGGUUUUUGAACAGAACUUCGAUAGGCGAGAGGUGUAAGCACCGCGAGGUAUGAAGCGAUCUUGUACUAAACGAAUUUCACUUUCCAACUG
RNAcentral lists this ribosomal RNA (2729 nucleotides) under Asparagus officinalis (garden asparagus). Its description in RNAcentral is "bacterial LSU rRNA". The stretch from base 367 to 2728 matches the Rfam family "Bacterial large subunit ribosomal RNA". Lineage: Eukaryota; Viridiplantae; Streptophyta; Magnoliopsida; Asparagales; Asparagaceae. The record is from RNAcentral.